RNAcentral lists this ribosomal RNA (484 nucleotides) under uncultured bacterium. RNAcentral describes it as "partial 16S ribosomal RNA". It matches the Rfam family "Bacterial small subunit ribosomal RNA", at positions 30 to 507 of the family's 1533-position model. The record is from RNAcentral.
AUUGAACGCUGGCGGCAGGCCUAACACAUGCAAGUCGAGCGGAUGAAGGGAGCUUGCUCCUGGAUUCAGCGGCGGACGGGUGAGUAAUGCCUAGGAAUCUGCCUGGUAGUGGGGGAUAACGUCCGGAAACGGGCGCUAAUACCGCAUACGUCCUGAGGGAGAAAGUGGGGGAUCUUCGGACCUCACGCUAUCAGAUGAGCCUAGGUCGGAUUAGCUAGUUGGUGGGGUAAAGGCCUACCAAGGCGACGAUCCGUAACUGGUCUGAGAGGAUGAUCAGUCACACUGGAACUGAGACACGGUCCAGACUCCUACGGGAGGCAGCAGUGGGGAAUAUUGGACAAAGGGCGAAAGCCUGAUCCAGCCAUGCCGCGUGUGUGAAGAAGGUCUUCGGAUUGUAAAGCACUUUUAGUUGGGAGGAAGGGCAGUAAGUUAAUACCUUGCUGUUUUGACGUUACCAACAGAAUAAGCACCGGCUAACUUCGUG